CCGAGUGAUCUAUCCAUGGGCAGGUUGAAGCGAGGGUAAGACCUCGUGGAGGACCGAACCCACCUAGGUUAAAAACUGGGGGGAUGACCUGUGGAUAGGGGUGAAAGGCCAAUCAAACUCGGUGAUAGCUGGUUCUCCCCGAAAUGCAUUUAGGUGCAGCGUCGUUUGUUCAGUCAUGGGGGUAGAGCACUGGAUGGGUUAGGGGGCCUACAAGCUUACCGACCCCAACCAAACUCCGAAUACCAUGACUCCAGAGAACGGCAGUGAGACUGCGGGGGAUGAGCUUCGCAGUCGAAAGGGAAACAGCCCAGACCGCCGGCUAAGGCCCCAAAUUCUAGACUAAGUGGAAAACGAUGUGAGAUUGCCCAGACAGCCAGGAGGUUGGCUUAGAAGCAGCCACCCUUGAAAGAGUGCGUAACAGCUCACUGGUCGAGUGAUCUUGCGCGGAUAAUGUAACGGGG
RNAcentral lists this ribosomal RNA (461 nucleotides) under uncultured bacterium. RNAcentral describes it as "bacterial LSU rRNA". It matches the Rfam family "Bacterial large subunit ribosomal RNA", at positions 721 to 1180 of the family's 2925-position model. The record is from RNAcentral.